Molecule: long non-coding RNA, 1016 nt
Organism: Capsicum annuum
Lineage: Eukaryota; Viridiplantae; Streptophyta; Magnoliopsida; Solanales; Solanaceae
Exons: 2
Source: RefSeq, a predicted model, not a curated record
UUAUACUUUUGUCAUUACCAAGCACCAUUAAUUAGGAAAAAAUGUUGAUCUUCCUCCUUUUUCUCUCCUUUCGGUUGUUGUCAUUUUACUUUUUGUAUCCUCUCAUCUGUUGCCAUUGCUAUGUAUAUGAUUUUUUUCUCCAUUCAUUCAAAACCUGAUUCUUUCUCCAUUUCCUUCUGCAAGGUACAAAUAACACAACUAGCUAUAGUAAAGGUGGUGACCAGAACUUCUGCAAGCCAGAGUAACAUUAGUUGUGCGAUGUUUGCCAGUUGGGAAGACUUUAGACCAAAAAUAUUUUUGACCUGAUAAUAAUGAGAAUGGUUGUGUUGGUCUAGCAACUUUGACAAUUAUGUCAUACAACAUCUUUUUGAAGGAAUUUUGUAUAGAUAUUGAAAAGGCUUUAUGAUUAUUCAAAACUUGGGAAGAUCCCAACAAAUGUAGUAAUCUACAAAAUAUUAGAACUGGGACAUACAUGACAAUAUAUUUCCAAUUAUUUUUCUCUGGCUUAUCUUUUUCCUCUUUAUGUAGUGUUGGAUUUAGCUGCGUAUGGUAGUAGCUUUCAGUUAACAGGCUGAUAUAUCUUCUUAGAUAGUAUAGACUAUUCUAAUGGAGGUGUCCUUUGUAGGUUCCAUAUUCUCUAUUUGAUCUUGCUGGCAUAAUAUGUGGACAAUGUGGGAUCCCAUUUUGGAAAUUCUUUUUUUUCACAACUUUUAUUGGAAAGCCUAUCAAUAAAAUUCACAUUUUUUAGACUUGCCUAUUUAUUUGACAUGAUUCUCAUAGAGAUGUGUUAUUUGACUAUCCUUCUGAAGACCGUAUGUAUAAUUUAUGUUUGCAACAAUCAACUUCUUAAUUUAGUGGACACCAAGUUGAUUUGGAUGCUUAGUUUUAUACCUGGUAUUAAAACCAGGUUACCCAAAACCAUUGCCAAGAUCUAUUCCAUGAAAGACAAGUAUAUGGCCACUAAAACUCCUUCAAUAUCAAAUAUAAAGGCAAUAAUUUAGCUAAUUCUAUUUUUA